GUGAUCUUCUCACCUCAGCUUCCCAAGUAGCUGGACUACAGCUCAUCAACACUACAAAUCUAAAGCUGAAAGCUCAGGGUACGGUAAUGACAGAUGGAAACUUCAUUACAGAAAGCAAUGAAGAACACCCAAGUGGUAAAUAUGUGGCUGGUCUUGGCUCAUUCCUGCUCCUCCCUGCUAGUAUCUCAAAGCCACCUUACAGGAAUGUAAAAGCCACACUACCCAAUUACUGCAACUCAAAGGAUAAAUGUCAACAUCUAUACAAAGUAUUGUCAGAAAGAGUGUGAAAAAAAGGACUGACCCCUAAAGAGAAUUAUUAUUUGGGUGCAAAAUUUGAAAGAGCCAAGUAAGAAGACAAGCUUUCCAGAGCAAUUGCCACCAUAUUUUUCAGCUCUGUAUUCCAGAAACACAAGAUUGUCAUAUAAGAAACACAAGUGUAGACCAGACCCAUGACUUGCUCCUAAACAACAGAAUAUGACAAAUGGAAUGGCACGUCACUCCCAUGAUUAUGUGAUGUUAUAUGACUGUGUCUUGCUAGCUGGCUGGCUCCACAGACGUUCUCUCUCCCUUGCUGGCUGUGAAGAAGCAAGCUGCCAGAACUCCUAAAGCCACAUGGAGCUCAUUGCUGCCAAAAGGAAUUGGGAAGCAAAUCCUUCCCUAGCUGAGCCUCCAGUUGAGAGCCAGUCCUGGCCAACACCUUGAAUGUAGCCUUGUAAGACCUUCUGAGGAGGACCAAGCUAUGCCGUAUCCAGAUGUGUGACCUGCAGAAACUCUGAGGUAAUAAUUGUGUGCUGAUUCAAGCUCCCAUGUUUGCAGUAAUUUCUUACGCAGCAUAGAAACAUAGACUACAAAUGUCUGGAAAAGAAUAGCAUGUGGCUUUUUAGCCAACCUGUGUGUGAUUUCAAGGGAGCAGGAGAUUUUAGAGGCAAUUAGUCUUAUAAAGGAUAUAUGAGUCCAUUUUGCACUGCUAUGAAGGAAUAGCAGAGACUGGGUAAUUUUACAAGGAAAAUAGGCUUAUUUGACUCAUGGUUCUGCAGGCUGCACAAGAAGCAUGGUGCCAGCAUCAGUUUUUAAUGCGGGCCUCAGGACACGUACAGUCAUAGUGGAAGGCAAGAGGAGCUGGAUGUGGCACACCUUAAGAGAGGAGGCAAGACAGAGGGUGCAAGAAGUUCCAGAAUCUUUAACUACCAGAUCUUAUGUGAACUUAUGACUGUGGGGAGGGCACCAAGCCAUUCAUGAGGGAUCUGCCCCCAUGACCUCCCACUAAGCCCCACCUCCAACACUUGGGAUCACAUUUCAACAUAAGAUUUGGAGGGGGAAAAUAUUAACAUUAUUAAUAUCUGAAUUCUAUUAGAGACGAAAGGGAAAUUUUCCCACACGCUAAACAUUCUAAGUUGACUAGAGAAAGAUAAGGAUGUAUAUAGAGUAGAUUUCUAAGACCUAUACUAUUUUUAAAACCUGGUGGGAUUUGGGACAACGGUGAAGAAUGAAGCAUAUCAAUAAUAAAGACAUCCUCUUUUCACUUUUAUCAAAAAGGAUAAUGACGAGAGAUAUUGGUACCCAGAGUAGGAUAGAAAUAUACUUGAUGAGAGUAAAAGAUUUCGUAGAGAUGUCAAGAAUGAGAGAUAUGUGUCAGUUUAAAUUUUGUUUUAACUACAGGUAUUUUGACUAUGAAGCUAACCUUUUCCUUUUCCAAAAUGGAAGCAUGCCUUCUGAAAGGGAAAUUGUUAAUUACAUGUGCAUGGAUAUGGACUCAUCGGGAGCUAAUUAUUUCAAUAGAAAUGCUUGGAGGUUUCAAAAAUAUUUGUUUAUUGGGAAUGUAAACUUGUGGCCUUAAAAUUGAUGAGAGAUAGUUCCUCCUGAUUUUGGCAGGCUCCUUUCUCUAAAAUUAACUGGAUAAAUCAUAUUAUAGAGAAAAAAUAUAGAUGCUAGAGAAUACAAACAACACCCACAAAGGAGAAACUCCUAUGGAAAUGGAAGAAAGUUUUGAAAUGAAGUGGUGGUUAUGGUUUGUGGAUGGGUGCCUAGUGGCUAGGGUCUGAGGCAGAGGGUAUCUGGGCUAUGAGGGGUUUAAAGAAAAGUUUGAAAAAUUCAGUUCUUGCCGAUCGUUCUUUGCUGUGCAAUUAUUAUUGAUAACUGCUUCCUGCAGAAACCAGUGACAAAGACCCAAAGGUGGUACACACACCUAUCAGGUGAGGAGUUGGGAAAAAAUCUGGAGACUGUGUAGCCCUGGGAGCCACACUCUCCCACUUCCCACUAUUAUACUGCCAUCAUUCUUACCUGGGUCGCACCGGCAGAGAUUCUGAUGUAACUGACCUAGGCUGAUGACCUCAGCAUCAUCGUUUUCAGAGCUUACCAAGUGAUUCUAACAUGCAAGUCUUGAUCUGAAGGUGUUGCUUAGUGACAAAGGAGGGUGAUUAAUUUUGGUUUUAUGAUGCCUGAGACUUUCUACCCUAAGGCUCAUGCCUGUUCACUCCUUGUACUCACUUCGAAUGAGAGAUCCAAGUGUGGGUUUCUGCAGGCGUUUGAGCCCUUUCUCAGCAUACCCUAUAUGAUAUCCCUGGGAGAGAAUUAUUUCAUUAGCCAAAAUAAUGAAAUAUUUAUGGAACUUAAUUAUCUUGAAAGAAAAACAACAAAACAAAGAUCCCUGGAAGUAUUAGAACACAUGGAUGAAAAUAUUUAAAUAAAUUUAUUAUAUAGAUUAAAAGACAUAAUGGACAAAACAUGGACAUACUGGACAAUAUUUGGAAUCCCAUUUCAACUUAAGAUUUGGAGAGGACAAAUAUCUAAACUACAUCAGAGGGGAAAGAGAAAUUU
RNAcentral lists this long non-coding RNA (2817 nucleotides) under Homo sapiens (human). RNAcentral's name for it is "HSALNT0356952". Lineage: Eukaryota; Metazoa; Chordata; Mammalia; Primates; Hominidae. The record is from RNAcentral.